UGGUUAUGAUGAGAUUCCACUUCAUGGUCCGUGUUUCUGAAAUAAUAAUGAUUUUUUGGAAGUUCUGAUGCC
Small nucleolar RNA from Meriones unguiculatus (Mongolian gerbil), 72 nucleotides. Its record names the gene SNORD18. It matches the Rfam family "Small nucleolar RNA SNORD18". Rfam says of the family: U18 is a member of the C/D class of snoRNA which contain the C (UGAUGA) and D (CUGA) box motifs. It is encoded in introns of ribosomal protein L1 in Xenopus and human, and in introns of elongation factor 1 beta in yeast. The record is from Ensembl. NCBI's taxonomy places the organism in Eukaryota, Metazoa, Chordata, Mammalia, Rodentia, Muridae.